Molecule: transfer RNA, 71 nt
Filed under: Nanobdellota archaeon
Lineage: Archaea; Nanobdellati; Nanobdellota
Description: tRNA-Gly
Rfam family: tRNA
About the family: Transfer RNA (tRNA) molecules are approximately 80 nucleotides in length.
Source: RNAcentral
ACGGUAGUAAUGCAGUGGUAGCAUGCGACCCUCCCAAGGUCGAAGCCCGGGUUCAAAUCCCGGCUACCGUA